CCCCCCCCCCCCCCCCCCCCCCCCCCCCCCCCCCCCCCCCCCCCCCCCCCCCCCCCCCCCCCCCCCCGCUGGGCACAGGCUGCAGGAGCAGGGCUGGGCUGGGCUCAGCACAGGCUGCAGGAGCAGGGCUGGGCCAGGCUCCCAAACCCUCCUGCUGCAGCCCUGUGCAUUCCUGCUGCGCCUCUGCCUCCUUCGCCAGCGAGUCCAACUGCGAGCAGUGAGUAAGGACUUGGGAACCCUGAGCAUUUUUGGGCUCUGGGCCCAAUCCUGCUUCCAGAGAAGUUAAUUGGAUUUUUUCCCUUCUAAAAAAGGGAGAGCACUCGGCAGUGCCCAGCUCAGCGCUGCAGGGCGCUCCUGUGUGUGCCGUGUGCGAGCCCAGCUGCCCGUGCCCCCCCCCCCCCCCUGCCGUGUGCGAGCCCAGCUGCCCGUGCCCUGGGCAGGGAUGGGCUGGGGGCAGCCAGAGCCCCCCUGGGCCGUGCUCCCGAGGCUGCAGGAGCCGUGGAUAGCGCUGCAGUGGCAGAGCUGCACUGCAGUGGCAGUACCCAGCUGGGGAGAUCAGCUUUUCCUCUCAAUGUUGGUACUAAGAAGUGCCUUUCCUGACGUCGCUG
This 608-nucleotide long non-coding RNA is filed under the name Ficedula albicollis (Collared flycatcher). Its description in RNAcentral is "lncRNA (ENSFALG00000026134.1)". Lineage: Eukaryota; Metazoa; Chordata; Aves; Passeriformes; Muscicapidae. The record is from RNAcentral.